RNAcentral lists this ribosomal RNA (440 nucleotides) under uncultured bacterium. RNAcentral's name for it is "partial 16S ribosomal RNA". It matches the Rfam family "Bacterial small subunit ribosomal RNA", at positions 338 to 795 of the family's 1533-position model. The record is from RNAcentral.
CCUACGGGCGGCUGCAGUGGGGAAUAUUGCACAAUGGGGGAAACCCUGAUGCAGCGACGCCGCGUGAGUGAAGAAGUAUCUCGGUACGUAAAGCUCUAUCAGCAGGGAAGAAAAUGACGGUACCUGACCAAGAAGCCCCGGCUAACUACGUGCCAGCAGCGGCGGUAAUACGUAGGGGGCAAGCGUUAUCCGGAUUUACUGGGUGUUAAGGGAGCGUAGGCGGCAGCACAAGUCUGGCGGGAAAUCCCGGGGCUUAACCCCGGAACUGCUGUGGAAACUGUGCGGCUGGAGUGCAGGAGGGGUAAGCGGAAUGCCUGGGGUAGCGGUGAAAUGCGUAGAUAGUAUGAGGAACACCGGUGGCGAAGGCAGCUUACUGGACUGUAACUGACGUUGAGGCUCGAAAGCGUGGGGAGCAAACAGGAUUAGAUACCCUGGUAGUC